CAAGCAAUUUGGCUGAUGAGGAAUCGGAUUAGUCUAGUUCAAAGACUUUUACUGUAGACCAGGUUCGGCUGUAAGAGCCGAUUGUACGGAAAGCACAGGAUUUUGAGUCGGCUGACGAGCCGAAUGCUUUUAUAUAUUGGAGUUAACUUGUAAAAAUAGUAUGAGGGACGAGUGUGCCUAAGGGCAUACAGACUUGAUUAAUCUACCUUAACUCUACUCCUAGGAAAACAGUAUGUGCGGGAAAGUAAAAUAUUACAAGUAAACUACUCUUAGAAAAUACAAGAAAAUUACAAAGGAAUAAAAGGUGGUCUUCUGUUCUUGGGAAAAAGACCUCUUUUCUGAGCGUUAUUUGCCUAUUUAUAGAUCAUCCCUGCUAACCCGUUAUUCCCUAUCCAUGAUCGGCCACUAUUCCUAUUUUUUCGGGCUAUUUCCAGCCGAUCGGAACCGCCUGUAACCACUCGCAGUUACUGGCGGUUACUCAAUAUUAUUGUUGAUGCUCUCGGUGCACAUCAAAAUCUUCUUUAAUCCUUGCUUCUUAAAGAUUAGGGUUGAGUGAAGCACCAGCGUACCACCUGGCUGCACGUUAUUUGCCCAACAAUUGCCCCCUCUGUAGCUUUUGAACGGACGUUUCGAUAGCUGGCGUAAUUAGAUACGCGUCUUUCGAUACAGUCAGUUUCAAAUUCUUUGUACGGCUCCUUUUUAGCCGUUCUUUUCUUUUUUACCGCCACGAUCUCGCCAUUCCUUUUUGUCUUAUAUGCGGCAUUAAUUAGGUCAUCUUAAUUGCCGCCGUCUCUUCAUCAUUAAAACCAGUCAUUAUAGCCAGCCUCGGAACCCGAUUUGACGCGACGACUUCUCUCUUCUUCGCUAAGCUUCCUCUUCUCCACUUGCUUUUCUUUAACUCAAGCUUCGUCUUCUUCGUCUUCUCUUUUCCUUUCCCCGUCUUCUCUACUUCUCUUCUCUCCCAUCUGAGUCUUAGUCUUCUCUACUUCUUUCCCCCUUUUCAAUCCUUAGGGUUUUUCUUCACUCUUUUCCUUCGUUUUAGCAAUGGCGCCGCUUUCGCCUCUUCCUUCUUCUCCGUCAUUGGAUUACACCAUACUUAG
This 1100-nucleotide long non-coding RNA is filed under the name Ananas comosus (pineapple). RNAcentral describes it as "long non-coding RNA (ACOM_LNC007192)". The record is from RNAcentral. Lineage: Eukaryota; Viridiplantae; Streptophyta; Magnoliopsida; Poales; Bromeliaceae.